This 996-nucleotide ribosomal RNA is filed under the name Triticum aestivum (bread wheat). Its description in RNAcentral is "partial small subunit ribosomal RNA". Lineage: Eukaryota; Viridiplantae; Streptophyta; Magnoliopsida; Poales; Poaceae. The record is from RNAcentral.
AUGGAAGAACUGAUGAAGGAAGCACACGCCCUCUUCUGCGGCGGCUGGAGCAUAAAAGAGUCCCAGGUGUUCAUAAGCACGCUCCAGCAUCUGCUAACGGCGGCGACCAAGACCGACGACCCUGACGCGGCAAAGACGACGAGGUGCUGGGCGACUCCCCAGCGGUGGCUGCUCACGCUGGACACGCCCUCGCUGCGCGCCGCGCUGUGGAACCCCUCGACCAAGGAGAAGGUGGAGCUCCCAUCAAUGGAGAAGGGCCUGCCCCAGAACUGCAAGUGCUUGCUGUCGCGCGAGCCCGGCUCCCGCGCCGGCUGCGUGGUGCUGGUCGUCGACGACGACGAGCCGGAGAUCUGGUUCUGCCAUGUCGGAGGCGAGCAAUGGACCAGGCACGAGUACGAGAUCAUUGUCGAGAAACCACGGGGUUCACCCAAUUUUCGCUUGGUGAAAAAAACAGUCUUUCGAAGAAGCAGGAUACGGAGCAUCGCCGCCGUCGACGGUAAGUUCUACUUCGACGUGACCUCCUCGAAGCUCGGCGUCCUCGACUUCGUCCCGGGCCCGACGUUCACCAUGAUGGACACCAAGGGAGCGAGAGUCGCAUGGGAUUCCUGGGAGCUGGCGUUCCCUCAUCUGGUGGAGUCCCGCGGGAGGCUCUACCUGUUCGUCAUCGCCCAUAAUGCUCUGGCCAGCAUCGCCCUCUACAAGAUGGAUUUCUCGUCGCUUGCAUGGUCCAAGGUGGAUCGCGUCUACGACCAGGUGUUCUUCUUGGGCGGGUUGCAUUCCGCGGCGUCGUAUUCUGCAUGGGAGCUUGGUUUGACGCAGGGUAAUGUCUACUAUCUGGGGCCGUAUGAGCUGCUCAACGUGUUCUCUGCCGGAGACAAACGUCGACCGCGCUCCAACUGCAUACACGGGGCCGAUCUGCCGGCUCCGCUGCAGGGCACAUACGACGUGCUCGCCAGAGCUUGUGCUGGUUUCACUGUCGGCAUCGGCAGUGGCUAG